Molecule: ribosomal RNA, 253 nt
Filed under: uncultured bacterium
Lineage: Bacteria
Description: partial 16S ribosomal RNA
Rfam family: Bacterial small subunit ribosomal RNA
Source: RNAcentral
UGCGUAGGUGGCAAGCGUUGUCCGGAAUUACUGGGUGUAAAGGGAGCGCAGGCGGGAAGCCAAGUCAGCUGUGAAAACUACGGGCUUAACUUGUAGACUGCAGUUGAAACUGGUUUUCUUGAGUGAAGUAGAGGUUGGCGGAAUUCCGAGUGUAGCGGUGAAAUGCGUAGAUAUUCGGAGGAACACCGGUGGCGAAGGCGGCCAACUGGGCUUUAACUGACGCUGAGGCUCGAAAGUGUGGGGAGCAAACAGG